GCAGGACCACGUUAGCACUGAGUUAUCACCAAGCUGGCACCAGGCUUCGUUCCAGGACAGGCUGAUGAGGCUCCUGUUGCAGCAGCUGAGUUUGAACCAGGCUCAGGAAGAGGUUCUUCCUGUUUGCACUGUUUCAGCUUUGAACAGUAGCAACUGCUAUGAAUUUGAAGUCUUUUCAAGUCUGUUUGAUAAACCACUUCUCUUCAAGCUAUUCAAAACAAUGAGAUGUGGUUCAUGACAGUAAAUACACUAUUUCAGUGCUCAGAGAGAGUAAUUGAGAGGUCUUGCCUUGCUCGACUGCAAGUCUGUCUGAACACCUGGAGAGCUGCUACAGCAACAGGGU
Molecule: long non-coding RNA, 343 nt
Organism: Myiozetetes cayanensis
Lineage: Eukaryota; Metazoa; Chordata; Aves; Passeriformes; Tyrannidae
Exons: 4
Source: RefSeq, a predicted model, not a curated record